GGGCUGUACCUGUGGCAUGUGGAAGUCCCCAGGCUAGCAGUUGAAUUGGAGCUGUAACUGCCAGCCACAGCCAUAGCCACACAGAAUCCAAGCCACGCCUACAACCUACACCACAGCUCAUGGCAAUGCCAGAUCCUUAACUCACUGAGCAAGGCCAGGGAUCAAACCCGCAUCUUCAUGAAUACUAGUCAGACUCGUUUCCAUAAUGACUCAAAAAAAAAGGGCAGUGGAGGUUGGCUGGUGAGGAGGAUUAAAAGGUCUCAAAGAAAACAAAUUAGCCAAUGUCAACCUAUCACAUAUAUUCAGUGAACACUCUAUGUGGCGUAGUAACUGCAGUGGCCAAAGCAGGCGACACUGCUCUGUUCUAAUCCAUCCCAAAAGGCUCAGGCAAGGACUACUGUGGGUCUCAAAGAGGAAAAUCUUUGGUCGGCCUUUAUAAAAUAAUUAUAACUAAACAUUGUUCAAUGGUAGCUGGUGAAAUAAGUAGAAGAGGUGACCUAAUGGUUGAUCAUAGGGACCCCUUUACUCACUAUUUGAUCACUUGCCCAGCUUGCUUUUCCCUUGAUGAGAACUGCCAAGCAGGGCAGGCAGGACACCAGCUGACAACAAGCACAGGCUUUGCAACCAGAUUGACCUCAAGCUUGUCCUGACACAUUCACCUCAUUGCUCUGGGCCCUUGUGCAACCUCCUUAGCCCUUUUGUUUAAAAUUUUUGUUAUAGUUGAUUUGCAAUGUUCCUUCAAUUUCUGCUAUACAGCAAAGUGACCCAGUCAUACAUUUAUAUACAUUCUUUUUCUCACAUUAUCUUCCAUCAUGUUCUAUCACAAAAGACUGUAUACAGUUUCCUGUGCUAUAUACAGCAGGACCUCACUGCUUAUCCAUUCUAAAUACAAUGAUUUGCAUCUACUAAGCACAAACUCUCAAUCCAUCCUAUUCUCUCCCCCUCCCGCUUGGCAACCCCAAGUCAGUUCUCUACAUCUGUGAGUCUGUUUCUGUUCUGUAGAUAGGUUCAUCUGUGACAUAUUUUAGAUUCCACAUAUAAGUGACAUCACAUGGCAUUUGUCUUUCUCUUUCUGACUUACUUCACUUAGUAUGAUAAUCUUUAAUUGCAUCCAUUUUGCUGCAAAUGGUAUUAUUUUAUUUUUUAUGGCUGAGGAGUAUUCCAUUGUAGAUAUGAACCACAUCUUUUUAAUCCAUUCAUCUGUAGAUGGGCAUCUAGGUUGUUUCCACACAUUGGCUCUUGUGAAUAGUAAUGCUAUGAACAUAGGGGUGCAUGUAUCUUUUUGAACAAAAAUUUUGUCUGGAUAUAUGCCCAGGAAUAAGACUGCUAGAUUAUAACGUAGUUCCUUAGUUUUCUGAGGAAACUCUAUUCUGUUUUCCAAAGUGGUUGUACCAAUUACAUUCCCACCAACAGUGUAGGAGGGUUCCCUUUUCUCCACACCCUCUUUUUGUUAUUUGUAGACUUAUUAAUGAUGACCAUUCUGACUGGUAUGAGAGGGUACCUCAUUGGAGUUUUAAUUUCCAUUUACCUAAUAGUUAGUGAUGUUGAGCAUGUUUUUAUGUGACUAUUGGUCAUCCGUAUGUUUUCUUUGGAGAAGUGUCUGUUUAGGUCUUUUGCCCAUUUUUUAUCUUUUUUUUUUUCUAUUGAGCUGUAUGAGUUGUUGGUAUAUUUUGGAGAUUAAGCCCUUGCCUUUUGAAUCUCAAGAUCUUCAUCUGUAAAAUGAGGAUAAGAUAGGUUAAGGAUAGGCAAGUAGGUUAGUAUCAGUAGAAGAAUUAGAUAGGACAGCACAAGCAGAAUGCUUAGCCCAGAGCCCAACACAGAGAAAUAGUCUAGGGCCGUCAGCUCUAGUUAUUCCAAGUGGACACCAGAAUCCUUUAGAUCUCAGCCAACAGAGAAGCCACAACCCACCUCUACCAAACAGGUGAGAUCCCAUUUCUGUUGGCACCUAACACAACUUAGUAAUUGAGGAACUGAGUGCACUGUUUCAUGUCUGUUUUCCAAAUAGAGUGAAGGCUCAAGAUAUCCAAGGCCAGGGCACUGUUGGCCUCCUCAGCGCCACCACAGUGCCAGCACACGAUAAGGGGCAGAUGUAUUUGUUGAACAAAUAAGAGAGGGAGUAGAAAUCAAGAAGAAAGAGGGGGAAGGAGAGGGAGAGAAGGCAAGACACAGAACCUUUCCCUGUUCUCCCUCAGCCUCUCAGCACUGCUGCCCCUGACUGUUCAGAAAGGGAUGAUGGAGGGGGAUUAAGUGGCUGGUGAGGAAGGCACGUGUCUCUGUUCCCUGAAGAAACCUUUUGAGGGUCCAAGGUGUUCAGACCCUCCACCCAGCUGGGACCAACUUCCUUGGACUUCAUUUAGCAACAGUCACUUCCUUGGCAGUAACUAGCUCAAAAAAGGCAGACUCCUCAGGCCUGGGAAUGGGGGACUGAUUAAUUGGAAGUUCUGGCUGCCAAGGGCCAGGACCAAGGCAAAUCGUGGCAGGGUAACACUACCACUCAAGGGGACAUUGUCCAGAAGUUCAUUAAAUUCAAAUUCUCUCAUGAGCAGUAAUUUUUUUUUUUUUUUUUUUUUUUUUUUUUUUUACAAAUUUGGGCUUAGAAAUCUCAAUGGGAAGCUUUGGUUUUAGCAACCUGGGUUCAUAGCAAAUGUACAUUCGAGGGCAGAAAGCUGAAAUUUUGAAACUGAAAAAAACUCUGUAAAUGAACCAUAUUUUAAUUUAAAAAAAAUUUUAAAUGGAAAAAAAAACCCUCACAUCUAAAAAUUGCUUAAAGCACCAAAAUAAUUUUCAGCCAUUUUAACAUAAAUCUUUCCAAAAUAUAUUAAACGCCCCAAGCCAUGGUAAACAGAGUAGACAUGCCACACCUUUUCUUGGUGACCAGGGCCAUUGUGAACAGUGCUGGUGAUUGUGCCAACUUGUCGGCACAGGUAAUUAUUUCUCUAAGGGCCCAGACUUCUCAAGUGUUCUAACCUGUGGGAGUUCUGACUCUCUUUCUUGACACUUCCCUCUAGUGGCUAUAACUGACCUAUCAAACUGUUGCCUCUUACACCAAAAGGUACCCCCAAAGAGGUAUGUGUUCUACUUGAUAUUUCUUCUAUUUCUGCUAACUGUGGCUGCCUCUGUUUUCCUCUGCUGCUUCUCAAGUUGCUUUGUAAUUCUU
This 3157-nucleotide long non-coding RNA is filed under the name Sus scrofa (pig). Its description in RNAcentral is "lncRNA (ENSSSCG00055021639.1)". The record is from RNAcentral. Lineage: Eukaryota; Metazoa; Chordata; Mammalia; Artiodactyla; Suidae.